This 120-nucleotide ribosomal RNA is filed under the name Anolis carolinensis (green anole). The record is from RNAcentral. Lineage: Eukaryota; Metazoa; Chordata; Lepidosauria; Squamata; Anolidae.
CUAUUCUGUUACAAUAUCGUAAAAGCACCAGAUCCUGUCUGAUCUUGGAUGCUAAACAUGGUCAGCCCUGGUUUAGUACUUGGAUGAGAAACCACCAAGGAACACCAGAUGCUGUAGGCU